Molecule: ribosomal RNA, 301 nt
Filed under: uncultured bacterium
Lineage: Bacteria
Description: partial 16S ribosomal RNA
Rfam family: Bacterial small subunit ribosomal RNA
Source: RNAcentral
CAGUCGCCGCGGUAAUACAGAGGGUGCAAGCGUUAAUCGGAAUUACUGGGCGUAAAGCGCGCGUAGGUGGUUUGUUAAGUUGGAUGUGAAAUCCCUGAGCUUAACUUAGGAAUUGCAUUCGAUACUGGGAAGCUAGAGUAUGGGAGAGGAUGGUAGAAUUCCAGGUGUAGCGGUGAAAUGCGUAGAGAUCUGGAGGAAUACCGAUGGCGAAGGCAGCAAUCUGGCCUAAUACUGACGCUGAGGUACGAAAGCAUGGGGAGCAAACAGGAUUAGAUACCCGCGUAGUCCCUGUCUCUUAUAA